UCUGAAACAUCUGGACACUGAAUUUCUGCAGAGGAGAAUCAGAGGAAAGAGACGAUCAGUGGUACUGGGUGUCUCCGGAGAGAUUUAAAUCAACGAUGAUAUUUUGGUUGCUCCCUUUGGAACAUUAACACAAAAAGUGAAAGGAAAAAACAACACAUCACAGGAACCCAGUGUUCUAAGAACACCAAGAGUGUAUAAGAAGAAACUCUGAAACGGCUCCAGAUACCAUGAGCUCCUUACUUCUCCUUUGCUUUUUUCACUCUGAGGAUUUGAAGGCAAGCAGCACCCACCCCACCACCCAGGUGUGAACAACAGGAGAUUACUCAUAGAUGGUAUAAACAGAAGGUUCACUGCGUGCAAGAUACUGUACUUGGCCGGUAGGAGGUAAUAGCAUUCAGCCUCAGGAAUCAGUGUGAAAACAGAGCAGAAUAUUUGGAACUGCUGUGUAUCCUGCUCGGGUCAUGAUCUCACUGUUCG
Long non-coding RNA from Lynx canadensis (Canada lynx), 477 nucleotides. RefSeq lists it as uncharacterized. NCBI's taxonomy places the organism in Eukaryota, Metazoa, Chordata, Mammalia, Carnivora, Felidae. The record is from RefSeq and is a predicted model, not a curated record. The transcript has 4 exons.